GCUCGGGCGCUUCCGCAAAGAUGGCGGCGGCUGCGGGAAGAAGCGCUUGGCUGGCGGCCUGGGGCGGAAGGCUGCGGCGCGGGCUCGCGGCCGGCCGACGAGCUGUGCCGACUCGCGGCCCUCUCGCAGCGGCUGUGGCCGGGGUAGCCCUGGCAGGCGCAGGAGCGGCAUGGCAUCACGGCCGCGUGAAAGCAGCCGCGCGCGAGGGCUCCCGAACGGUGUCGGCGCAGAAAAAUUAUUUGGGACCAAUAGAGAAACUUUCUCUCCGCAAACAGCGGUUCAUGCAGUUUUCAUCCCUGGAGCACGACGGAGAGUAUUACAUGACACCCCGAGACUUCCUCUUCUCAGUCAUGUUUGAGCAAGUGGAGCGUAAAACACUGGUCAAGAAGCUGGCAAAAAAGGAUAUCGAGGAUGUACUGUCAGGAAUCCAAACAGCACGCUGUGGAUCAACAUUUUUUAGAGACCUGGGUGAUAAAGGGGUAAUUUCAUAUACCGAGUAUCUUUUCUUGCUUACAAUCCUCACAAAACCUCACUCUGGGUUCCAUGUUGCUUUUAAAAUGCUGGAUGUGGAUGGGAAUGAGAUGAUCGAGAGGAAGGAGUUUGUUAAGACUGGUACAAAUGACUCUGAAAGCUGCAGAAGAUCAUAAGUAAACAAGAUGGCUUCAAGACAGUGAAGACUAAUGAGACAGAAUACCAGGACCCAACAGUGAAAGAGCCUGGCGUUAACACAACCCUUCAAGUGCGUUUCUUUGGGAAAAGAGGAGAAAAAAAACUCCAUUAUAAAGAAUUUCGAAGAUUUAUGGAAAAUUUACAAACAGAAGUUCAAGAAAUGGAAUUCCUUCAGUUCUCUAAAGGCCUGAAUUUCAUGAGAAAAGAAGACUUUGCAGAAUGGCUACUUUUCUUCACUAACACUGAAAAUAAAGAUAUUUACUGGAGAAACGUGAGAGAAAAGUUGUCAGUAGGAGAGAGCAUUAGUUUGGAUGAGUUCAAGUCCUUUUGCCAUUUUACAACGCAUUUGGAAGACUUUGCUAUCGCCAUGCAAAUGUUUAGUUUAGCUCAUCGCCCUGUGCGGCUGGCAGAGUUCAAGAGAGCUGUGAAGGUAGCGACUGGACAGGAGCUCUCGGACAAUCUUCUGGACACCGUCUUCAAGAUCUUUGACCUGGACGGGGACGAGUGCCUCAGCCACGGCGAGUUCCUUGGGGUACUGAAAAACAGGAUGCACCGAGGCUUAUGGGUGUCACAGCAGCAGAGUGUGCAAGAAUACUGGAAGUGUGUGAAGAAGGAAAGCAUCAAGGGAGUAAAGGAAGCCUGGAGACAACAAGCCGGCAAGGGCCCCUUCUAAGGGGAAGCUGAUGGAGCUCCAGGAGCCAGAAAGUGGUUUUUCCAAGAGCUGACUGUUUCUAUGUCUUCAUUGAGUUUCUUUUGAGUGUGAAGAUGUGAAGACUCACUUUCUGAUUUGGGGGAUUUGGGAGGGAUGACGGGAGGUGAAUAAGUGUGUGCCACAGUGGGAAGUCAGAGGCCAGCCUGUAGGAGCUGGUUCUCUCUGUCUACCAUGGGAGUCCCAGAGAUUGAACUCAGGUCUCGAGCUUUGACAUCAAGUGCCUUUACCUGAUGAGCCAUCUCACCAGCUCCGACUCCAUCAUUUCUUGGUGAAUUUUCAUUACACAAAGUAUUCCUUUAUGAAAAUACACACUGCUCUAUUAAAGACUUGUGUACAAAGUGUGCUUUCUGGAGGGCUAAACAAGUCAGGGAAGGAACUUCAUUCCCAAGACAGGUACUGAUCCCAGAAGCCGUGAUAGCUUAGGGAAUACUUGCAGUUAAAGGCUUGCUCCAGUGUUCUUUGCUCCCUGCCUUGAAAUAGCACAUAAUGGCAGUGUCCGGUCUGGCAGCAGGAUGAAGUAUUUACAUUGAUACAAAAAAAUUUUUUCUUUUUUAAAUGUUCCAUGCUUUUGAAAUAUAAAUAGAGUGUCCUCUCCCAGACACUCCCAGGGGAGCUCAGCCAGCAAAGGACACAGCUGUGUACCAUGCUUUCCUAACAAGCAGCACACAGAGUUCCAUCUAAAACCACUCAUACACACACAGAUCACACACAGAUCACACACAUACAGUGAUCAUAAUAGCAAGUUUUCUUAAGCUACGGGAUCUUGGGUUGUGGGAAAUAUGGCACUAUAAAGUAGCUUGCAAUAAAAUAAAUAGGAAAUAAUGUUAUGUGGAGAUGGACAUGUGUAUGUAUACAGGUGGACAUACAUGUGUGUGUGGAAGCCCCUGCUCCUGUAAAUACCCCCAUGUUUCUGAAGUGAUCCCAAUAAACCCAUGAGCUCACCAAGCUAGACUUGGGUGAUAUUGCUA
Mus musculus (house mouse) is the source of this 2349-nucleotide RNA transcript. It is a transcript of the gene named mitochondrial calcium uptake 2, with no coding region annotated. The record is from RefSeq and is marked validated. Lineage: Eukaryota; Metazoa; Chordata; Mammalia; Rodentia; Muridae. The transcript has 13 exons.